Molecule: ribosomal RNA, 215 nt
Filed under: Saara hardwickii (Indian spiny-tailed lizard)
Lineage: Eukaryota; Metazoa; Chordata; Lepidosauria; Squamata; Agamidae
Description: partial 16S ribosomal RNA
Source: RNAcentral
CCUUCUAGUAGUAUGUCCCGCCUGCCCAGUGCACUUUUAACGGCCGCGGUCUCCGAACCGCGCGAGGGUAGCAGAAUCACUUGUUCUUUAAAUGGGGACUUGUAUCAGCGGCAUCGCGAGCGUUUUACUGUCUCCUCUUUUAAAUCAAUGAAAUUGAUCUUCCCCCGAAGAAGCAGGAAUACCCCUAUAAAACAAAAAAACCUGUGCAGAGAGAG